RNAcentral lists this ribosomal RNA (515 nucleotides) under uncultured bacterium. Its description in RNAcentral is "partial 16S ribosomal RNA". It matches the Rfam family "Bacterial small subunit ribosomal RNA", at positions 28 to 523 of the family's 1533-position model. The record is from RNAcentral.
GAUGAACGCUGGCGGCGUGCCUAAUACAUGCAAGUCGAGCGAAUGGAUUAAGAGCUUGCUCUUAUGAAGUUAGCGGCGGACGGGUGAGUAACACGUGGGUAACCUGCCCAUAAGACUGGGAUAACUCCGGGAAACCGGGGCUAAUACCGGAUAACAUUUUGAACCGCAUGGUUCGAAAUUGAAAGGCGGCUUCGGCUGUCACUUAGGGAUGGACCCGCGUCGCAUUAGCUUGUUGGUGAGGCAACGGCUCACCAAGGCAACGAUGCGUAGUCGACCUGAGAGGGUGAUCGGCCACACUUGGACUGAGACACGGCCCAGACUCCUACGGGAGGCAGCAGUAGGGAAUCUUCCGCAAUGGACGAAAGUCUGACGGAGCAACGCCGCGUGAGUGAUGAAGGCUUUCGGGUCGUAAAACUCUGUUGUUAGGGAAGAACAAGUGCUAGUUGAAUAAGCUGGCACCUUGACGGUACCUAACCAGAAAGCCACGGCUAACUACGUGCCAGCCGCCGCCGUAA